This 369-nucleotide ribosomal RNA is filed under the name uncultured eukaryote. RNAcentral describes it as "SSU rRNA". It matches the Rfam family "Eukaryotic small subunit ribosomal RNA", at positions 587 to 972 of the family's 1831-position model. The record is from RNAcentral.
AGCUCCAAUAGCGUAUAUUAAAGUUGUUGCAGUUAAAAAGCUCGUAGUUGGACUUUAGGCAAGGCAGCCUGGUCGCCCUCUGGGUGCACUGGGAUUGCUGCGCCUCACCUUCGGGGAGCUAGUCGUGCUUCGGUGCGCUAGGGAACCGAGCCUUACCUUGAGGAAAUUAGAGUGUUUAAAGCAGGCUUAUGCUUGAAUACGUUAGCAUGGAAUAACAUGAUAGGACUUUGGUUCUAUUUUGUUGGUUUGAGGACCAAAGUAAUGAUUAAUAGGGACAGUUGGGGGCAUUAGUAUUCAAUAGUCAGAGGUGAAAUUCUUGGAUUUAUUGAAGACUAACUAAUGCGAAAGCAUUUGCCAAGGAUGUUUUCA